This 1970-nucleotide unclassified non-coding RNA is filed under the name Hevea brasiliensis (rubber tree). Lineage: Eukaryota; Viridiplantae; Streptophyta; Magnoliopsida; Malpighiales; Euphorbiaceae. The record is from RNAcentral.
GGAAUUAGUAAGUUUGUCCAGCAUCAACCAAAAAAUAUGAAUAAACAAAAUCCAUGGAAUUAAUGCAAACUGAACAUUUACUCAAAUGACUAGACCAGCGAAAAUACUCGAUUUGGAAAAUAUUCAAUGAAAUAAUUGAAGUGUCAAUUAUCACAGAUCAAGCAAGAAAACAACUUCUCAAUGAAAGACUUGGAGGUUGUGUUGGUAGGUAGCUUGGGUAAAACAAUGACCUCGGAUUCAUCUACUCCACUUUCCCUGGCUUUCUCACAUUCUUCACAGAAUUUCUUGUAGGCAUUCUCUACAUACUUUGCAGCUUGUGAAACUGUCAUGCCCUCCACAAGUCUUUGAGGAUAAAUGUCAUUCUUAUGAUCUCCGUUCAAUACUGCUGCCAUUUGUACUAGUUCUUCUUGGAAUUCACUAAGAUUUGCCUCUUCAUUCGCGUUAAAUUCGCGCAGUCUCACAGGUUCUGGCAAUGUAACUGGACAAUCUGUUCUUGGGCUAGUUCUAGUCAAAACACUCUCAAAAGUGCCGGCCCAUGCAUCCCGCUUGGUCAGAAACUCUUUUAGAUUGAAAAGUUUUUUAACUGUUGCUGCGAUGGAGGAAUGUUCAUACUGUGAUGUAGGUUCUGGUCCUGAAGGUUCGUGUAGUACUGAAAUUCAAUUUAAUCAUAAAUCUAUCUUAGCUUGCUUCAAAAUCAGGAAAUUUACACAUACAAAACCUGCUAUUUGUGCGGGUAUAACCAUUAAUUUUAGGAAGUAUUGGUUCAAUCUCAUAGCGCAGGUGGUCAAGAGUUCAGUACUGAUGCUCUCCAGGUAGACAAAACUAAGCCAACAUUAACAAGGUGGAAGCAAACAAUGGUAAAAAUGUACCUGUUCCAGGUUCAAUCCAAGGAGAUAUUAGAAAGGCUGGAACCCUGACACCGAGGCGAUCAAACUUGAAGAAAUAUGGAGCAGGACCAACAAUAUCAUCAGGACUAGGGACCCCUGUUACAGGAGUUGGAACAUGAUCAAAGUAACCACCAUGUUCAUCAUAUAUGAUUAUGAAGAGCAUUUCAUUCCACUGGGGGCUAGCUCUCAGAGCUUCAUAGACUUCUUUCCCAAAUUUCUGGCCUUCAGAGACAUUGUGUGAAGGAUGGUCAUCGUUUGCAGGUAAGUUUAAAAGGUCGAAAUACCUUGGUUCAAUCACCACAUAGUUUGGUAGCUUCCCUUCCUCACAGUGCUUCUUAAAGUGCAGAUCAAACUGGUGGAAGUUCUUCAGGUACUUCAACUUUCUAAGAUUCCUGUAGAACAGAGUAGAAGGAGGGUGUUGAUAAUAAAUCCCAAAGGUAAAACCAGACUCAUCCAUCGACUCAAAUAUGGUCUUCUGCGGAUAGCCUUCUGCAAGCAACUUUGUGUCAUUACUCGUCGCCCCAUGCGAAGUAGCAGAAUGCACGUACAACCUAUUCGGCUGCGUCAAAGACGGAAUUGAAGCAAACCACCGAUCACAUAUUGCGAAAUUCAUCGCCAACUCCUUAUAAACCGGUAGGGCCUCCGGUUUAAAUCCGUUCAUUACUGUCUUCGCCAUUCCCUGCUUAAUACGCUCCGCGUUCUGAGCGAACCCAUUCAUUUUCGGUGUCAGAGUGUUCUCGCUAGUAAGUGCGGCUUCUGUCCAUUCAACACCGAACACCUGCUCGUAAAUGGCUUCGAUGGAGUGGCCAGGAUCAGGGUCGACGUAUGCAGCGUUGUCUCCGUAGAAGAUGAGGGAUGAGUUGGAGUCGGAGGUGGAGAUGGGGUUGGAAUCGGAUCCUGUUACGCCAUCGAUUUCUGGGUUGAGAGUCUUCAGCCAGCCUAGCAUGUGAUCGAAUGAACGGUUUUCUUGGACCAGAACCACCACCGUUUUGAUGGGGUAUUCUCGCGGGGCGGCGGAGGAGCUCUCUGCAACCAUAUUUGGUGGUUCUUGGAGGGUGUUGCUUUGGUUGCGAGGAGAUGACU